GACGAACGCUGGCGGCGUGCUUAACACAUGCAAGUCGAACGGAAAGGCUCCAGCUUGCUGGAGUGCUCGAGUGGCGAACGGGUGAGUAACACGUGGGCAAUCUGCCCUGCACUCUGGGAUAAGCCUGGGAAACUGGGUCUAAUACCGGAUAGGACCUUUCUCCUCAUGGGGUUUGGUGGAAAGUUUUUCGGUGCAGGAUGAGCCCGCGGCCUAUCAGCUUGUUGGUGGGGUAAUGGCCUACCAAGGCGACGACGGGUAGCCGGCCUGAGAGGGUGACCGGCCACAUUGGGACUGAGAUACGGCCCAGACUCCUACGGGAGGCAGCAGUGGGGAAUAUUGCACAAUGGGCGAAAGCCUGAUGCAGCGACGCCGCGUGAGGGAUGACGGCCUUCGGGUUGUAAACCUCUUUCAGUAGGGACGAAGCGCAAGUGACGGUACCUGCAGAAGAAGCACCGGCUAACUACGUG
RNAcentral lists this ribosomal RNA (467 nucleotides) under uncultured bacterium. Its description in RNAcentral is "partial 16S ribosomal RNA". It matches the Rfam family "Bacterial small subunit ribosomal RNA", at positions 28 to 507 of the family's 1533-position model. The record is from RNAcentral.